UACGUAGGGUGCGAGCGUUGUCCGGAAUUACUGGGCGUAAAGAGCUCGUAGGUGGUUUGUCGCGUUGUUCGUGAAAACCGGGGGCUUAACCCUCGGCGUGCGGGCGAUACGGGCAGACUUGAGUACUGCAGGGGAGACUGGAAUUCCUGGUGUAGCGGUGGAAUGCGCAGAUAUCAGGAGGAACACCGGUGGCGAAGGCGGGUCUCUGGGCAGUAACUGACGCUGAGGCGCGAAAGCGUGGGGAGCAAACAGG
RNAcentral lists this ribosomal RNA (253 nucleotides) under uncultured bacterium. RNAcentral's name for it is "partial 16S ribosomal RNA". It matches the Rfam family "Bacterial small subunit ribosomal RNA", at positions 524 to 776 of the family's 1533-position model. The record is from RNAcentral.